GCCCCCGUAGCUCAGUGGAGAGAGCAGCUGCCUUCUAAGCAGUCGGUCGCAGGUUCGAAUCCUGCCGGGGGCG
This 73-nucleotide transfer RNA is filed under the name Acidimicrobium ferrooxidans DSM 10331. RNAcentral's name for it is "tRNA-Arg (TCT) (tRNA-Arg-TCT-1-1)". It matches the Rfam family "tRNA". Rfam says of the family: Transfer RNA (tRNA) molecules are approximately 80 nucleotides in length. Their secondary structure includes four short double-helical elements and three loops (D, anti-codon, and T loops). Further hydrogen bonds mediate the characteristic L-shaped molecular structure. tRNAs have two regions of fundamental functional importance: the anti-codon, which is responsible for specific mRNA codon recognition, and the 3' end, to which the tRNAs corresponding amino acid is attached (by aminoacyl-tRNA synthetases). tRNAs cope with the degeneracy of the genetic code in two manners: having more than one tRNA (with a specific anti-codon) for a particular amino acid; and 'wobble' base-pairing, i.e. permitting non-standard base-pairing at the 3rd anti-codon position. The record is from Rfam by way of RNAcentral. Lineage: Bacteria; Bacillati; Actinomycetota; Acidimicrobiia; Acidimicrobiales; Acidimicrobiaceae. RNAcentral also lists the same sequence under 1 other name.